Molecule: long non-coding RNA, 10664 nt
Filed under: Nicotiana tabacum (common tobacco)
Lineage: Eukaryota; Viridiplantae; Streptophyta; Magnoliopsida; Solanales; Solanaceae
Description: long non-coding RNA (NTAB_LNC019300)
Source: RNAcentral
GAGGGUAAAAUUGAGUAUUAACAGCUGGCCCCUCUUUACCCGGAAAUGAUGAAAGAAUUGUCGGGUAAAGAAAAUGAUGAUCAAUUUUGUCCGAAUGAACGAGGAUGGGGGUAUGAGGUACUUAAAAUAUGGGGGCCGAACCCUGGGUCUUGAGUUGCCUACGUGUCCCCGAUUUUACGGGUAUCAGGCCACGUGUAGUUCUGGAUCCAACCACGGACGAGACCGACGGAGUUGUUAAGAAAAGGUUGCAUGCUUUGAAGAAUGAUUUUUUCUGGAUAGAGUAGUGUCCUAAGUAGUUUAUAAUUUCAGGUAAAGGUUAUGAAUGGCAAUAGGGCGAAGUUGAACGUUGUGGAUGCCUGAGACAAUACAUUUGGGCAGUUACAGAAGAAAGAGUAAUCAAUUGCUAGUUAUCGAUUACUUCGGGGAUAAUCAAGGGAUGUGAACGUUUUGAACGGAAUCAGAGCGAGAAUUGCUCCUAUUUGUAGAAUGGUUACCUUCCGAGUUACUUGCAAAACUUAAAACACGAUGCACGUGAAUAUAUAUAGUUAUUGCGGAAAUUUAAACAUGAUGCAAAUUCCCUUUGGACUAUGAGAAUUGUCUUUCGGACAAUGAGGAUCAUGUCUUUAGACCAUGACGUCCUGGUCCACAAUGCAUAUGUUGAAGAAUUCGCAGGCUAUGAAAUGAUGUCCUCGAGCCAUGAGGAUGGUGCCUCUAGACUAUAACGCCUUUGAAUAAUGAUAUACAGUUUUGAGAGAUCAUUAGGCCAUGGAAUGGUGUCUUUUGGCUAUGAGGAUGAUGCCUUCGGACUAUGAUGCCUUCAGACAAUGUGGCGAUAUUUUAGCCCAUAAAAUGCAAAGAUGCGGCGUGUUGAUCGUUUGAUAAAGGAAUCAUGUAAUCCUUAGUCAUAUGCGAGAACGAGACAAGGCAGUGCUUAGCCUUGUGUGAGAUGAGGGCAAUACUUAGCCCUAUGCGGAUAAUGAGGGCAGUGCUUAGCCCUAUGAGAAUGAAGGCAAUGCUUAGCUUUAUGAAAUAAUGGAGGUAGUGCUUUGCCUCAUGUAAGUAAUAAGGGAAGUGCUUAGCCCUAUGCAGAGAAAGGAAAUGUUUAGCCAUGUUCAAUGACGGAGGAAGUGCUUAGCCUCAUGCAAGUAAUGAGGGCAGUGCUUAGUCCUAUGCAGAUAAAGGCAGCGUUUAGCCUUGUGCAAUGAUGGAGGCAGUGCUCAGCCUCAUGCGAUGUGAUGAGGGUAGUGCUUAGCCCUAUGUAGAGAAAUGCAGCAUUUAGCCUUAUGCAAUGAUGGAGGCAAUGCUUAGCUUCAUGCAAGUAAUGAGGGAAGUGCUUAGACCUAUACAGAUAAUGAGGGAAGUGCUUAACCCUAUGCGAAUGAAGGCAAUGCUUAGCCUUAUGCAAUGAUGGAGGCAGUGCUUAGCCUCAUGUGAUAUAAUGAGGGCAGUGCUUAGCCCAAUGUAGUUAUGGAGGCAGUGCUUAGUCUCAUGCAAUGAUGGAGGCAGUGCUUAGCCUCAUGCAAUGUAAUGAGGGCAGUGCUUAGCCCUGUGCAGAGAAAGGCAGUGCUUAGCCUUAUACAAUGAUGGAGGCAGUGCUUAGCCUCAUGCAAUGUUAUGAGGGCAGUGCUUAGCCCUAUGUAGAGAAAGGAAAUGAUUAUCCUUAUACAAUGAUGAAGGCAUUGCUUAGCCUCAUGCAAGGUAAUGAGGGCAGUGCUUAUCCCUAUGUAGAGAAGGCAGUGCUAAGCCUUAAGUAAAUGCGAGAAAGGAAAGUAAUUCUUAGCUUGACUCAUUUAGGCUUGACAACAUCCAUCUAUGUGAAGAUAGCGAUCUUUGUUGUACAUUCCUUGUUGAUACAUUUGGUAAUGUUGUAUCUGCUAUGCCUGCAUCCAAAGAAAAAUUGUAAGUCGGGGGAAGGUUGGUUCGUGCUUUCGAUUCCUUAUCUCGUCCUUGCUUAUGUCUUAACGCUUUGUGCUUGAGUCACCCUGGGUAGCAUUUGGCUGUUACAAAAAUGGAUUCUUUAAGAAUAUGCAUUUGCGAUAAAUUACUUGUAAGAGAUGAAGUUGUUUAAGGGAUAAUGCAUAAAAUAAAGGAAAAAUACAUAAGUUACCCCCUAAACUAUGGACCAAAUCCCUAUUACACACUUUUUGCAGGCGAAUAUUAUUUUACACACUUAACCUUUCGGAGUGUGUCUAAUACACACCAUUUUGACCACGUGGCUAGUGCGUGUAUUUUCCAACAAGUGAAGCGCGUGAACCGGAGAGGUUAUAUGUUAAUUUUUUUUUAGUUUUUAAAAAUAAAUAAAUUGGGUCAUCUUCUUCCUUGUUUAAAAAAAUCACAAAUCUGCCAUGGCUGGUCCUAAACACUUAGAGCCACUUCAGUUGACUUCAAUCCUGUUAAUGGGUUAAACCAUUCUCCAUUGAUGCCUAAGUUUGAAAAUAUAUCGGAUCUUAAUUGAGCUCUCUGGGAUGCUUCUUCUGCGGAUUUUAUUUGGAAAUCCAAAUUGCCCCCAAAUUACCAGUAUAUUUUUCCAUAACCCAAAUGGAAAAACCUUAAUUUGUUCAAGAAGGUUUCUCAGAACAACAUUCUUUAGUCAUUUUCAACUUCUGGGUUCUCUUGAUGUUUCAAUCUUCUUGUAAUUCUUAAUGAUUUUGUAUACUUUUUACUGUUAAAAAGGAUUAUUGGGUUAUUGUGAUUGUAGAAGUGGUGUUAUGGUGAUUGUAGAAGUGGAAGCCAUGGUGGUGUUAUGGCAGAGUUAAUGAAGCUUGGUGGUUAUGGAAGAAAAUGAAAGCAGUUGAAUAUGUUACAAUAGAGUUAUUGAUAUAGUGAAGAAGAUAAAAAUUAAGGGUAGGGUGCCUGUUAAUGUUUGGUGACAACCAUUGUUUUGGUGAUUUGCAAAAGAGAAAGAGAUAACGGAGAUGCUAAGAGUAUAAUUAUAAAUUUAGGUAUUUUUUUAAAAAAAACUUAUUAACACAUGUCAUGACCUUAUUGGUUCUUGACAUUACAUAUAUUCUGAAAAACAGAGUAAGAAAAAAGUAGUGUAUGUUAGUUACACUUUGAAAAGUUUGGGUGUGUAAUAUAAUUUUCGUUCUCAGAAAGUGUGUAACGGGGAUUUGGUGUAUAGUUCAGGGGGCUACCUAUGUAUUUUGCCUAAAAUAAAUAAUUUAGUCGAAUCUUAGGCCAUGACAUGCUUUGAGACAUUGCGACAUCCUUAUCUUGGAAUUUUGAGGAUUCCCUCAAAAUUUCACCCCAGUUUUGACAUAUACUUCCAGUGUUACUCUUUCGGCGAUCCUUGACUUAAUGAGAUUGAUGAAACUCAAAAUCUUGCCCUCGUUUCCGACCAUGGAGGGGAAUGAAGAUUUUAUUAUAAUGUGACCGAACCUACAAGGCUGCCUACAUAUCCCCUCUUAAACGGGAAUCAGGUCAAGCAUAGUUUAUGUUACAUCAAAGAAAGUUAAAAUACAAUUCUCAAACAUAAUAUCUCUUGAUGACGUCCAAAUUGAUAGGUUUUGUCCAUAUCUCUCCUUCAAUAUCUGCUAGUAUGAGUGCUCCUCCAAUCAACACUCGAUGAACCAUGUAAGUCCAGGUGAGAAUUUCUCGUUUGCCUCAUCCUGAUGUGAAAAAAUCCGCUUAAGCACCAAUUGCCCCGGUAUGAAUUGCCUCGGUCUAACCUUCUUGUUAAAAGCCCUGGCCAUUCUGUUCUGGUAGAGUUGACCGUGGCACACUGCGUUCAUCCUUUUACCGUCGAUGAGAUUCAAUUAUUCAUACAGACUCUGUGGUUAUUCUGCAUCGCUAAGCUCGACCUCCUGUAUGAUUCUCAAAGAAGGAAUUUCUACCUCGGCGGGUAUAAAGGCUUCAGUACCGUAGACCAGCAAAUAAGGAGUUUCCCCAGUUGAGGUUCGGAUUGUGGUGCGGUACUCGAGCAGAGCAAACAACAGCUUUUCGUGCCACUACUUGUAAUCGUCUACCAUCUUCCUUAGUAUCUUCUUAAUGUUCUUGUUGGUAGCUUCUACAGCUCCGUUCAUUUAUGGCCUAUAUGUUGUAGAGUUCCGGUGUUUGAUCUUGAAUGUUUCACACAUGGCUUUCAUCAGAUCACUGUUACGAUUGGCGAUAUUGUCGAUAAUGAUUGAUUUAGGCACCCCGAACUGGCAGACAAUACGGUCCCGGAUAAAAUCUGCUACGACCUUCUUUGUCACAGCUUUGUAGGACACAACCUCGACCCAUUUUAUGAAGUAAUAAAUGGCCACCAAGAUACAUCUGUACCCGUUGGAGACAUCGGACUCGAUCGGUCCAAUGACAUCCAUGCCCCAGGCAGAGAAAGGCCAGGGCGAACUUGUUACAUUGAGUUCAUUAGGUGGUACUCGUAUCAUAUCAGCAUGCACCCAACACUUGUGACACUUAUGUACAUACUUGAUGCAGUCGGUUUCCAUGGUCAUCCAAAAAUAUCCUGCCCUUAAUAUCUUCUUGGCUAGAACGAACCCAUUCAUGUGAGGUCAGCACGUUCCAACAUGUAUCUCCUCGAGCAACCUUGAUGCUUCCUUGGAAUUAAAGCAUCUUAGCAACCCCAAGUCGAGAGUUCUUCUGUACAUAAUUCCUCCGCUAUAAAAGAAAUGGUUAGCUAACCUCCAAGGCAUGCGCUUCUAAGUGUGUGUAGCAUUUUUUGGGUAUUCUCCUUUCUCCAAAUACUCCCUGAUAUCGUGAAACCAUGGAUUCCCAUCGAACUCUUCUUCGACGUGAGUGCAAUAAGCAUACUGCUUAUGUAUUUCUAUUGGGAUGGGAUCAAUAUAGUUCUUAUUUGGAUGUUGUAUCACGAAAGAUGGUGUGGCUAGUGCAUCCGCAAACUCGUUCUGGAUUCUAGUAACAUGCUUGAACUCUAUCUUUGAGAACCUUUUGAUCAAAUCUUGUACACAAUGUAAGUAUGGCAAUAUCUUGGUAUUCUUGGUGGCCCAUUCUAUGAGCACCUGAUAUAUUAGCAAGUCCGAAUCUCCGAUUACCAGUAAUUCCUGGAUGUUCAUGUCGAUAGCCAAUUUGUGUUUCAGAAUGCAAGCCUCGUAUUCUUCCAUAUUGUUGGUGCUUGGGAACUUGAGUUUGGCGGAUAUCGAAAAAUAUUGACCGGUUUCUAAUACUAGGACAACUCCAAUGCCUACUCCCUUGAAGUUUGCGGUUCCAUCGAAGAACAUUCUCCAACCAUCAUAUGCUUCGGCGAUUUCUUCUCCUAUGAAAGACACUUCUUCGUCGUGAAAAUACAUUUCUAUGCCAGGUGAUCGGCCAAUGCUUGCCCGUUGACUGCCUUCUGAUUCACAUAGACGAUGUCGAACUCGCUUAGUAAUAUCUUCCACUUUGCUAGCUUACCCGUAGGCAUAGGCUUCUGGAAAAUGUACUUUACAGGAUCCAUUCUUGAUAUGAGGUAUGUGGUAUAUGCACAUAAAUAAUGCCUCAACCUUUGAGCUAUCCAUGUUAGAGCGCAACAUGUACAUUCCAAUAGUGAAUAUCGAGCUUCGUAAGGUGUGAACUUCUUACUUAGAUAAAAUAUAUCCCGAUCACUCCCUCAAGAAUAGAAGGCAAUAACAGAGCGAAUCUGUCAGAGAGUACUCCACAAUGUGUAACCAGUGCAACCAUAUGUCACCCCGCGGGCUUUAUCGUACCCUGCCUGCUCGUCCCGACCUAUUUGUAACCAGCUACAACCUUGCUUGCUCCUUACUUCCGGUCUCAUCAUGUUGACCUAAGACGCAUCCAAACACUCCAUCCAACACGGAUUGAUACAGAAGUAAAGGUCUCUCGGGCUCUGGUGGGACCAACACAGGAGGUUUGGACAGGUACUCUUUGAUUUUAUCAAAAGCCCUUUGACACUCCUCGGUCCAACUCGUUGCAACAUCCUUUUUCACCAUCUUGAAGAUUGGUUCACAUAUUAAUGUUGACUGUGCUAUGAAACUACUAAUAUAGUUAAGACGACCCAAGAAACUCAUUACGUCCUUUUGCUCUUUGGUGGUGGCAGAUCCUAGAUGACUUUGAUAUUUGAUGGGUCUCAAUCAAUGUGGCGGCGACUGACGAUGAAACCUAGCAACUUCCCGGCAGGGACUCCAAAAGCACAUUUUUUAUGAUUCAACUUCAAAUCGUAUUUUUGUAUUCAGCGAAAAACUUUCUUAGGUCUAUUAUGUGAUCCGAGCCCUUCACAUCAUCUUGUAGCAAUAUAUUCCCCAUAGCGUAAUAAAGGCUAUCUUUUCUGCAUCCUCUUUGUCUAUCAAAAUCUGGUGGUACCCUGCGAAGCAAUCAACAAAUGAUUGGAGUUCAUGCUUGGCACAGUUAUCGAUCAAUAUAUGUAUGUUGGGCAGCGGGAAAUCAUAUUUUGGACUCGCUCUAUUCAUAUCUCAAUAGUUAAUUCACACCCUGACUCUCCCGUCUUUCUUCAGUACCGGCACAAUAUUGGCUAACCAGGUCAGAUACUCGACCACUCGAAGGACUUUGGCUUUGAUUUGCUUGGUACCCUCCUCUUUUAUCUUCAAACCCAUGUCUGGCUUGAACUUUCUGAGCUUUUAUUUUACCAGGGGACACAUAGGGUUGGUAGGUAGCUUAUAGGCUACUAUGGAUGUGCUCAACCCUGUCAUGUCAUCAUAGGACCAUGAAAAAUUGUCCUCAUAUUCCUUCAGAAAUUUGAUAUACUCUUCCUUGUCUGACGGUGAUAGUUGAAUGCUAAUGCCAGUUUCUUUGGCUGUUUCGGAAUCCCCUAAAUUAACGGUCUUAGUUUUUUCUAGAUUGGACUUUGGUUUGUUCUCAAAAUCCUCCACUUCCCUAAAUAUUUCCUUGGGUAUUACAUCAUUUCCCCAUUCUUCUUAAUCUUUUCCGUCGUGUUUUGUUGUCUCAUUACAUGUCAUAGUUGUAGAUUCAACAAGAUAGGUAAUAAUUAUGCUGAAAAGAAUGUAGAAAGAUAAUAAUAUAAAUAAACAAAAAGCAGUGAUGCAUUAAUUAAAACUUAAAACUGUCAGACAAAUAUGACUCGAUGUCUCGAGUAUUUAUUUCAAAACCAAAUACUGAAAUAUCUUAAAUUCCAGAAAAUAAAUUUUAAAAGGAAAUCAUGCUAGUUCUGCCAAAGCUACCCAAGUGCUUGGCUAGCCCGGGAUGGUGCAGCGGUCCAGUUCCUGAGAACAACUCUAUCUCCCACAGUCUGGACAUUAAUGUCUCUCUCUUCCUCCUCUAAGAUUGCACUGUAGUCCAUAUCUUCCUCGUUCAAAAACAGGCUCCUCAUGCCAGCCAAGAUCUCAUCUUCUUUAGAACCCAAAAUCACGUCGACCUUAUGAAAUGUUUGGUGUAGCGGUGGUGUGGGUUGAGGCAAUGGGUAAGGAAAAUCCUGCCAUGGUGGUGACCAAUAAUUAUAUUCUUGCACAGUGUAUUCGUACCCGAGACCAAAGGUCAUGCCCUGAGUGCGUGGUUGUAUUGGUUCUGUUAUCCCUUGAAGUUUAGGACCAAGACCUUUGCCUGGUUCAUACCCUAACCACAACAGCAUGCUUAGUACCUUGUUGCUCCACCAUCGUACUUUCUCGACCAUAUUUACCUGCUCGAUAUUGUAAAACGUUUAUCCACCUAAUUUCCUUAUGUUCUCAACUACCGGUACGGUCUGGUUGGUUUAGAUAGGAUUGCUUCCAUCCCCAUGGAUAAUUACCUCCUGAUGAUUCCACUCGAACUUCACGGCUUGAUGCAAAGUAGAAGCAACUGCCCCAGCCAUGUGUAUCCAUGGUCAUCCCAACAACAGAUUAUAGGUGGUGGAGAUGUCCAACACCUGGAACUCGACAUUGAACAUGGUCGGGACUAUCUUCAAAUCUAGUUUAAUUUCUCCAAUAGUAGCUCUUUGGGACCCAUCGAACGCUUUCAUGAUCAUGCUUCCCAUCCGUAUCUCCGGUAUACCUAUGCCCAUUCUUUUCAGAGUAGUCAAAGGGCAUAUGUUCAGACUUGAACCCCCAUCAAUCAAAAUUCGAGUAGUGAACGUAUCUUCAUAUUGCACAGUGAUGUGUAAUGCUUUGUUAUGACUCAAACCUUUCGGUGGAAACUCAGCUUCAUGGAAGGUGAUCUUGUGUGUCUCCACACUUGUCCCACCAUAUUUUCCAUCUCUCCACUAGUGAUACCAACAGGUAUGUAGGCUUCGCUUAACACCUUCAUCAAGGCGUUCUUGUGUGCGUCCAAGUUUUGUAACAAUGAUAAGAUGGAUAUUUGAGCGGGAGUUUUACUUUGGUGAUCAACAAUAGAAUACUACCUUGCCUGUACCUUCCUCCAAAGGUCAUCAGUACCUGUCUCCACAACAUGUGGUUUUGAUGCGGUCUCCUUACUUGUUCCCCUAAGAUUUUCCAGUGUGUAGACCCUGCGUGUUCUAGUCAUUCCCUAGGUGGCACCCGUUUCUUCCAUCUUGGCUUUUCCUUUCCUUCUUGCCUCUGCCACAGAAUCCCAAGGAACAAUGUUAGGUUUGUAGGAUGGUGAUGGAGCUACCAUCACAGCGAAUGAUGUCCUGGAUGUAGCUACUUCAACCUCGAAUGGCACCUUGGUUUGCACCACUAUCAGCGAGAGUGUGACAUGGGAUGUCAUAGAAGUGUCUCCUUCUCGAAUAAGACUGAUGGAUCCUUUCUGGUCCCAUUGCUCAUCAGUCUCGAUCACGUUUGCUCCCUCACCCCUGUGAUCAGGAAGGGGGUUAUUGCGGACGUUCGGUACAGAUUCUUUUGCCUGUAUGACCUUGGUCUCAAUCAAUAUCUGUCACACCCCUUUUUGACCCCAAAAGAUAUGUGUUAUAGAUUAUUGUGGGUUAAUGAGUUUUUUCAAUUAAAGUGACAAACUUGAGUAGGGAUUAUUUUAUUUAUAGAGUCGCCACUUGGAAUUGAUUUUUGGGUGUUCCAAGUCACCUUUUAUUUUAAUCCCCAGUCAAAGGAAGGUUUGACUCCAUUAUUAUUGGUCUGUAAAAAUAAAGUCUGGGUAAGGAAUUCUGUUGACCAGAGAGAAGGUGUAAGGCAAUCCUCGAGUCCCGUGGUUCUAGCACGGUCACUUUAUUGACUAAAAAUGGCUUGAAUUAAUUUUGGACAAAAUGUGUUUUAUUGGAUUUUCGUGUUUUACCUAUCCUCUUUUAAUUAUUAAAUUAUGGAAUUAUCUUUGAAACAAAUCACGUGUGUGAAUCCGUUUUGUUUAUUGCGCCAAAAUCAUGUUACGUGUAUGUGUACAAAAUUAAUAGCAUUUUAUUAAUAUUAAGAUUGUUUUACCCAAAGUUGCACGAACGCAUACUUCGGUUUUAAUUUUGAAAAUCACAAUUAUGUCACACGAACGUAUACAUAGUCACGAUAGAUUAAUUAAAAAUGCGCCUAAAUCACUCUAAAAGUGUUCAUUAUUCUUCUUAAACUUUGAGAUUAUUGUAAGGUCAUGAAUUAUGAAAUUACUUGUGGAAGAAGUGAUGUACUCUAAUUUUAUGAGUUAAACUAACAAUUUUAAAAAUCGAUUGAUCGAAAUUGUAACUCAAAAUUAUACCUAGCUUUACUAACGAUUAGUUGGUUGGCCCCAAAACCUUUACAAUUCACUGCCUAAAGAAGUAGUGAAUACAUUAAUUCCACAUUAUCUAAUAAUAAAGGCCCACUCAUCAUUCUUUCAAUUAGGCCCAAAUUCCAUUUUUAUCCCAAUUAGUAGAUAUAGGCCAUUUUACUCUGUAACAAAUUUCGAAUUGCUCUGUCUAACAAAAUGAAAUAGCAUAUUCCAACCCUUACAUAUGAUUUUAAUUUCACAAAAACUAAAAAAAAUAUCUAAACCAAAAUGCUUAACAAUCAAACAACCGAUAAUGUAAAUGCAACCAACAACAAAUCCUAAAAAAACAACUAGACCAGAAUAUUGCAAUAAAGUUCAUACCAAACAAAGCCAACAAAGAAUAUAUAAUUUAAAGAGAUAUGAAUGGAUCAUGGCAAUAAGAAUUACUGAAACAAAAAAAAAGAGAAAGAAAAUGGACCUUUGUAUUAAAUCUGAACUUUUGAGUUUUGCCGCAGGGAAAUCCCAAAGCAAAUAAGACCCAGAUAGGACCUCGAUGAACCCAGACCUCGGCGGAUGAAACUCGAUUGGACCUCGGUUAAAACUCAGCCGUUGGAGCUAUUUUGGGGCUGCUGUUUUGUGCGAAAAGCUGCUGUUUCGCUAAGUAUCGGGGGGCUAUUUUUGAUCUGUUUUGGCAGCAGCGGUACAACUGUUUUGGGGUUAUUUUUGACCUGAAUUUUAAUGGUACUCACUACUGGUUUUUGGGUGAAGAAGAGGGAGUUUUCAUCUGCUUUUUUCAAUGAUUUGUGGGGCAUAUUUGGAGCUAUUUUUCACUGGUUUAAAGGUGUUUUGGAGCUGAAUUUCAUGGCUGGUUUGGGAAGGAGAGUUGCUGUAUUUUUGCAGCAGCUUUGGAUCUGAAUAUUGGUGUUAAUGGAGGUGGUUUUUGCAGCAACACAGGGUGGCGUUUUGGGGUGUUUCAGGUGGAAAUUAGGGCUGGACAAUAAUGAAACCUUGGAGCUAUGAAUCCAUUGAGUUUUCAGGUGGUUGAAGGUGAUCUUACAUGGCUCGAAAUGGAAGAAAAAAGGUGGAAUUUGCAGUGGCUGACUUUCUUCCUUAGAGGAGAAUUUGCGGCGCUCAAAAGCUUAGAAUGAAAAGAUGGUUGCUAGGUUCUUUUUUGUUUUUCC